GUACACCUUGAUCCCUGCACCCCUUUGUGGUGAGGGGAAAUCCUGAGAUCGAAGCAGCCUGAUUCCUCCUGCCUAAAGAGGAUCCCUGCCAGCAGAGAUCAGCCCUUCUGCAGUGACUGAGGAGUCCAGAGUCAUCUCUGAACCUGACAAUCAUUCAUGGAGUUUGAGAGUGCACCAUCUUUUAGUCAGUCAGGGAAUUUGUUUUGGGGACUCCCUACUCCCUGAACUGUGUCCUCAAGCCAGGGAGUAAGGGGUUGGGGAUUUUAUAACCAGCUGCAUAUUAAACCCAUGGAGGGAUUUACCACCUCCCAUUUGAGAGUCUUUUGGGCUGUACUGAACCCAGUCAGCCACACUGCUAAAACCAUCGUGGUCAUAGCAAGGGCCUCAACAAAGUACAUGUACCAACAGGACACUAAUCUUACAUUUGCUACCUCAAGUCAUGUGACUGGGGAAAGUCACAGGUAUUAGCAGCAUGGGCACCGGUGAACCUAACAAUAGUGUUACCCUGUUAUGAUGUAUUUGGCUCCUGUUUAAUAAUUGUGUUGAAUAUUUUGUAUGUGUUUGUGUUAUUUCUUGGAAGUCUCCAACUGUCUGGCAAGUAAGUGGAGAUUACCCUGUGGUUAGAAUUUUCCUCCCAAGCUGCCCUGCCAGGAAGGAGUGAGGAGGAGUGGAGGCACCGCUGAAUACAUUAAUUGGAAAAAAUAGAGAAGAUAGACCCUGCUGAGCGGGAUCCAGAAGAACCCAGACCUGUCCAUCAAAACCUGUAAGCAGAUUGGCAUUAAAGAAGCCCUACUUCAGAUACUUCUGUGUUUUAUCAAAAAGAAUUCUCACAACCAGCACGCCAGCUCAUUCCUCCUGAUAUUGCCAAUGUCUGGUGAUGUGUUCUCUGGAGGUGUCCCGCAACCUCCUGAUGGCGUCUGACACCAUGAAUUGCUGCAUCAACCAAGCCUAGCGUUGACCAACUCCACAUUCUCUCAGCACUCGCUCUUUACCGAGGUCUAAUGUGCCCAUGGCUCCAACGAUCAGUGCGUGAGUUUGAACCUCAGCACCCCUCUCUCUCAGGGUGUCGGCCAGAGGGGUAUAUUUCUCCAGCUUUUGAGAUCGGGCGUCAUGGAAAGCUGGGGUCCUGUUUUUGAAGGGCACUGUGACUUUAAUAUUACUUUUUCAGUUGAGCAAUUGCUAACAUUGGCACAGGGAAGUGGAGAGAAAGGCUGGCUGUGGGAUUGCGAAUUGUUUAUGAGACACUGAAUAUUGAAAUGUAAUCCCCCAAUAAGAAAAUGCUUGAUAAACUGCAUGU
Molecule: long non-coding RNA, 1297 nt
Organism: Mauremys reevesii (Reeves's turtle)
Lineage: Eukaryota; Metazoa; Chordata; Testudines; Geoemydidae
Exons: 3
Source: RefSeq, a predicted model, not a curated record